AUGAGUUUGAUAAUUUAAUUAUGUAUUGAUCUAGAAAAGCACUUACAAUACUAAUAUUUUAAUAUUCGUAAAAACAAAAUUGAAUCUAAUUAUGCUUGAUUGGGUCUGACCAUACCAAACUAUCAACGAGGGGAUGGUCACAGAAGCAAACGAUGCCGUUUCGCCCAACCUAUCUACCACCGCCAUUCUGUCACCGAUCACCUCAACCGGCGGCAGCGGAGACCUUAUUGUAUCAACGACAGACGCGAUGCGCUCCUUCCUCACCAUAUCUUCCACCGAUUCACGCCUAUCGGAGGAUCUCAGGCAUCUUUCUUCCUCGCUUAGCCUCCAGUCGACCGCAUCAUACCAAUCCCUGAGAACGAUCUGGUUCGGAUCCGAAUCUGGCUCCAGAGCCGAUCUAUCCUCUCUCCUGGCCGGCUCUAAUUUCGUCUUCACCAGCCCUGCGCCUCGCCAGAAGAGCGAGGAGCUGAAGGCGAGAUUGAGAAAUCUGGAGGAAGCAGCUGAGAGGAAGGCGUACCAUAAAUUGGUGAAGGAUAUCACUCCGAGGAAGCCUGUGAAUGAUCCUUUCUCUUCUUACAAGGAUCAAUUAGGCUUCGGAUUACACGUUGUGGUUACGAUGUUUACUGGAUACUUGGUCGGGUAUGCAGCAUUCCGAGCCCUGUUUGGCCAAAGUCCUGCCACGAGUGCUGCUGGAGGCAUCCUUGGUCUGGUCGGGGCCAUGCUAGUCGAGACACUUCUAUUUAUACUCAGAUAUUCUGACCUAGGUAGUGAAUCCUCCUCAGCUUCUACUUCUCGUCCCUCCAAUUUGAAGAUUAAGAAGAAUCAGUAGGUAUGAUUUCGGAUAUAUUUUCUUGGAAGAUUGUGUUCUGGGUAAAUAGUUUUGAAAUGCAGGCUUACUUAUGUAGGAUUUUCAGAGUUAUUUGUAUGUGAAAUAUAAGGCUGGUUUUUGGUAUUUAUUCAAAAAAAUUUUGGCAAUACGUGGUUGUUACAAUCUCUCACAUUUGAGAAGGUUUGUUCUGUGUAUUGCUCUAUUUUUCUGAUUUAUGUAGAAUAUUAGUACUAGAGUAGUGUAGUACUACUCAUAAGCAAUGCUUCCUGGUUCCUCCCAUCCCAAGUCCCAACUUAAAUCAAUUCUUACUCCGUUUGUUCCUUAAAUUUUGUCACAUUUUUCUAUUUCCGUUCAUCCCACAAAAUUUGUCACAUUUCACUUUUUACCAUUUUUUUUAUAGUGGACCACAUAUUCCACUAACUCAUUCCAACUCACAUUUUAUUAUGCGUGUUCACUUUGAACUAAUUCCAUUUCUAAGAUUUGAAAGAAGUAAUUAUUCCAAGAAUUAAGCCAUAAUUGGCCACAAUAUAGGGUCAUGAUAAUCUACAAACCCUCUAUAAUACAAUCUAUACAAACUUUAAUCCUGCCCACUUAUUGUAAUUAAUCAACGGUUAAUAUAUGUUAGAUUUGAGAUGUCAAUAUUUCCUAUGAAUCUGUUAACAAAGGGUAUUUUUGAGACAAAAUUAAUCAGUUGAAACUAUUAAUUAUGGUGAGAGAUUAUGUAAUCCCAAUAACUGCGUCUCCCCACUAUUCACGUUUCAUAUCCCCUCAUUUCAUCUCUCUUCUUCCCCUUCAUUCCACGUUUUCGUCUUUUGCAAUUCCUCCAUAGUUAAUCGACGGCGAUCCUCUGCGGCGACGACGUCAGCGAAUCCUCCUCGGCGGCUUCAUGAGUUCUGUGCGACAAAGUGGGAAAGCUUCGGCGCAGUCAUCUGAAGGUGAGAUUUCCGGCGAAAAACCCUAGUUGUUGAGAUUUCCAUUGUUGUUGUGUUUUUUUUUGGUGAGCUUUCCAGCAACAAAACCCUAGUUGUUGAAAUUUUGGUGAAAUUUCUGGCUAUUUCUUUGGUCUCGUCGAGUUCGUGAUUCUUGGGUGUUUCUUUAUGCUGCUUAAAGUGGUACUAAUUUAGUUGUUGACAUUGUACAAACUAAAAUAGUGGUAUGGUGAAAUUUUGUUGAUGUUGGUUUGUUGAAAUUUUCGGCCAUCAUCAUUGUUGACACUGUGCAUUUCAUUUGGAAAAUUUAGUGAAUUUCUUGGUUUGUUGAGUUGUGUUGCGAUUCCAGUCCGAUCCAGCUAAGAUCACAAUGCACAACCAAUCGACACAACAACUAACCACACAAUAAACACAACAAACAAUUGAACGCAGCAAUGGAACAAGAUAAACACUGAAUGUAGAUUGAUAAUGAGAUCAGAGAAACAAUGCGAUAAGUAAAUGAUAACGAAAGCAACACGAUAAAGAGAAUUGAUAAAAUGCUUCGGAUCCACGAUCCUCAGCCUAAGGUGCUCAAGCACACAUUCACACAAUUUUCAUGAGUGAAUUGAAGAAAGUUGCUACUUCUAUUUAUAUUCUCCCUUCCUUCCCUUCUCUCUCUUAAGCUGACGUGGCAUCAUAUCCUUGCUCUCCCCACAUGACAAAAUCGGCUUCACGAUUCUUAAGUUGGCAUGCUUCUUCUCUUCCACUCUUAUUGAAACGACGUCACAUGCAACCAACACAUGGGUUAUUUACUUAACGAAAAAUACUUGCAACAAGUUGAUAUUGUGUUCUGCCAUAGCAUGGGUUACUGAUACUUUAUUUUUGGGUGAGUGAUUUUGAUGUUGACAUUGUUCUAAGUCUCUGAUCUAUCGUUGUGUUUGUGGUGAUAAUAAACAUGUCAGUGUGCCUCUGUGUUGUGUUUUGCGUGUGACCGUGGUGUUGUGUUUGUUAUUGUAUUGACAUUGCUUGGUUUGGUUUUUUUUGGUGAGCUUUCCGGCAACAAAACCCUAGUUGUUGAUAUUUAGUGUGUUGUUUUGUUUUGCUUUUGUAAUUGCUCGUAUCGACGUUGCUCGGUUUGCUGUGUAUGGUGACUGACAUUACUUGUUGAUGUUUUGGUAUUUGAUCAGGAAAUACUCAAUCAAAGGGUAAAAAUUGGGUGCUGACAUUCUGGAAUGUAUCUUAUGUUGAUGUUGUGUGUUUCUGACAUUCUGAAAUGUAUAUGAGAAUUAAAGUGACAUCUUGGCUGUGACUUUGAUGAUGGGUGUAGAAAUUUGCUGUUGACAUUGUUCUAAGCCUCUGAUCUGUUGCAUUUACAUGCUGAUAAUUUAUCUGGGAAGUGCUAAUAACAUGUCAGUGAGUUGUUUUGUUUUGCGUUUGUUAUUGCUCAUACUGAAAUUGCUUGGUUUGGUGAGUAUAUGACAUGGGAGGCCAACAUUUAGCCGGUGGGUGAUGAAAUUUGCUUAGUAACUGAAAUGGAAUACUGACGCUUUUGAAAAAGGGUGUUGAAAUUUGCGUAGAACAAUUCCGUGGUGAUAAUUUAUCUGGGAAGUGGAAACAACAUGAAAACGUCAAUCAAAGGGUAAAGUUGUAGAUGAGGGUGAGGGGAGUGGGAAGCGGACUAGAACAGUAGGAAAACAGUCAAAAUCUGUGCAGUCCAUGCGUAUACAAGCCAACAGAACACAACUAAGGAUCAAGAGAACAACGUGUUUUUUCUUGCAGAUCCUGAAGUCUCUCAAUGUAAAGCAGAAAACUGCAGUCAGGCAGCUCGGCUUUGGUGGUCUUCUCGAGUACGAUGUGGCGUCUAUUCCAACAACGUUAGCCUAUUGGCUACUAGAGCAUUUUGACCACCUACGGUGCAGUCUCAAGCUGCCUAAUGGUGAUGAGGUAGGGAUUGAUGCGAAAGAUGUUGAGCUUAUUUUUGGUUUCCCAAAUGGGGGGAUUAAAUUUCAUCGAAGUGACCGAAUGACUGGCAUCAAAUACCUAGAAACCAUACCACUUGAGGAGGAUGUUGAUAUACAUUCUAUGCAGACGAAGGUCCUGGAUGUUGAUAUACCUAGAAACCAUACCACUUGUUGACAUUCGUUUCAGAAAAAAAAAUUGAAACUGCAUCAUUUUGUUGACAUUUGUUGUAGACGUGUUGACAUUUGUAGCUUAAAAAACUUGAAACAAAAUUGAAACUGCAUCGAUUUGUAUUUA
Molecule: RNA transcript, 3993 nt
Organism: Salvia splendens (bonfire salvia)
Lineage: Eukaryota; Viridiplantae; Streptophyta; Magnoliopsida; Lamiales; Lamiaceae
Exons: 5
Source: RefSeq, a predicted model, not a curated record